CCUACGGGAGGCAGCAGUGAGGAAUAUUGGUCAAUGGGCGCGAGCCUGAACCAGCCAAGUAGCGUGAAGGAUGAAUGCCCUACGGGUUGUAAACUUCUUUUAUAAAGGAAUAAAGUGAGGCACGUGUGCCUUUUUGUGUGUACUUUAUGAAUAAGGAUCGGCUAACUCCGUGCCAGCAGCCGCGGUAAUGCGGAGGAUCCGAGCGUUAUCCGGAUUUAUUGGGUUUAAAGGGAGCGUAGAUGGGUUGUUAAGUCAGUUGUGAAAGUCUGCGGCUCAACCGUAAAAUUGCAAUUGAGACUGGCAGCCUUGAGUACAGUUGAGGUAGGCGGAAUUCGUGGUGUAGCUGUGAAAUGCUUAGAUAUCGCGAAGAACUCCGAUUGCGAAGGCAGCAUACUAAACUGCCACUGACAUUGAUGCUCGAAAGUGUGGGUAUCAAACAGGAUUAGAUACCCGAGUAGUC
This 460-nucleotide ribosomal RNA is filed under the name uncultured bacterium. RNAcentral's name for it is "partial 16S ribosomal RNA". It matches the Rfam family "Bacterial small subunit ribosomal RNA", at positions 338 to 795 of the family's 1533-position model. The record is from RNAcentral.